GGGCGCUUAGCUCAGUUGGUAGAGCGUCUGCCUUACAAGCAGAAUGUCGGCGGUUCGAUCCCGUCAGCGACCA
RNAcentral lists this transfer RNA (73 nucleotides) under Acinetobacter baumannii. RNAcentral's name for it is "tRNA-Val". It matches the Rfam family "tRNA". From Rfam's summary of the family: Transfer RNA (tRNA) molecules are approximately 80 nucleotides in length. Their secondary structure includes four short double-helical elements and three loops (D, anti-codon, and T loops). The record is from RNAcentral. Lineage: Bacteria; Pseudomonadati; Pseudomonadota; Gammaproteobacteria; Moraxellales; Moraxellaceae.